RNAcentral lists this ribosomal RNA (467 nucleotides) under uncultured bacterium. RNAcentral describes it as "bacterial SSU rRNA". It matches the Rfam family "Bacterial small subunit ribosomal RNA", at positions 23 to 507 of the family's 1533-position model. The record is from RNAcentral.
CUCAGGACGAACGCUGGCGGCGUGCUUAACACAUGCAAGUCGAACGGUAAGGCCCUUCGGGGUACACGAGUGACGAACGGGUGAGUAACACGUGGGUGAUCUGCCCUGCACUUCGGGAUAAGCCUGGGAAACUGGGUCUAAUACCGGAUAGGACUCCUGGCUUCAUGGUUGGGGGUGUAAAGCUUUUGCGGUGUGGGAUGGGCCCGCGGCCUAUCAGCUUGUUGGUGGGGUAAUGGCCUACCAAGGCGACGACGGGUAGCCGGCCUGAGAGGGUGACCGGCCACACUGGGACUGAGAUACGGCCCAGACUCCUACGGGAGGCAGCAGUGGGGAAUAUUGCACAAUGGGCGCAAGCCUGAUGCAGCGACGCCGCGUGAGGGAUGGCGGCCUUCGGGUUGUAAACCUCUUUCAAUAGGGACGAAGCGCAAGUGACGGUACCUAUAGAAGAAGGACCGGCCAACUACGUG